Molecule: ribosomal RNA, 125 nt
Filed under: Cystobasidiomycetes sp.
Lineage: Eukaryota; Fungi; Basidiomycota; Cystobasidiomycetes
Description: partial small subunit ribosomal RNA
Rfam family: Eukaryotic small subunit ribosomal RNA
Source: RNAcentral
CCUUUGUACACACCGCCCGUCGCUACUACCGAUUGAAUGGCUUAGUGAGGUCUCCGGAUUGGCUUCUGGGAGCCGGCAACGGCACCUAGUCGCUGAGAAGUUGAACGAACUUGGUCAUUUAGAGG